UUAGAUUUCUAAUUACUUUAUCA
This 23-nucleotide non-coding RNA is filed under the name Arabidopsis thaliana (thale cress). Lineage: Eukaryota; Viridiplantae; Streptophyta; Magnoliopsida; Brassicales; Brassicaceae. The record is from RNAcentral.